Carassius gibelio (silver crucian carp) is the source of this 1189-nucleotide long non-coding RNA. RefSeq lists it as uncharacterized. Lineage: Eukaryota; Metazoa; Chordata; Actinopteri; Cypriniformes; Cyprinidae. The record is from RefSeq and is a predicted model, not a curated record. The transcript has 6 exons.
CUGCUUUUGCCACGAACCAAUCGGUGCUUCUGUAUCCAAGUCAACUUGGAAUGUUGAGCUAUUUAAAUCCCGAGAAGAUGGAUCUAAAUGAUUGACUUUUACAUUGAAUAUCGUUUGAUUGAAAAGUUCAUCGCUGUAUAUGUUUAAGAUAUUGGGUGGCGUCCAGCCCAGUGUUUCUUACCUUCUGAUGUUUGUCCAAAGGGGCUGAAUUGUGGGACAUCCAGCGACAGAUUGACUCUCUGUGAGCCCAGAAGUUCAGAGGCUCCACAGGGACGUGCUCCUCCUGAGCUUUAACACCGCAGUGCGCUACAUGAUCAGGGAGGCAUUCCGACGCUGGAAACCUCUCGGCCUAUCAGACUGUGAGUGAAAACAUGAGCCACGCCCUCCCUCUCUUGAGUGACAGCAUGAUAGGAGGAGCCAGUUUCCUUUCUGUUCCUGAGCUGCUAGAACCGGCCAGUUUUCAGGAACCCAGAGGAGAUCAAAGAGCACGGUGGGAACAUGGCGCUGGGCCUGAUUCUCUCUGCAGGCUGUCAUUAGAAAGCCAAUAAACUUCACCACAGCUAGUCUCUUAUAUUUAGGAUAUUGAUUUUCAUCUCAACAAGAACAACAACAAAAUAGUCCUCUCUGAAAUGCAUGGGAUUCACAUGACUUCACAUGUCAUUAAGAACUGUGGAAACGUCGAUUGAGGAGCAUUUCAUCCAGCGGUGUUGAGCGUGAGAUUGAUGGACAGGUGAUGUUCUCCAGCGCUCAUCUCCAGGAGUGUUUGACUGAACUGACUUUUCUGCAAUGAAUCAUGAGCGGAGUGUCUUCCAGCAAUAUUUCCAGUUUUAUGAGCCAAUUCUUCAACAGCAGGAACAACUUCUUUACAAGAAAGAGCAGGUGGCGGAUGUGUGUCGUGGCUCUGAAGAGAAGCUUAGGUCAACAUAUAUAGGCAUAUAUAUAAAAAAACUAAUAAUAAAAAUGUCAAAAACACAAUAAAAUUACUUAAACAUUGUGAAAAGAAUAUAAAAAAUAAAAUUAAAAUCUGUAUCAAUGGUAUUAAAUGUAAAAGUGAAAAGAAUGUUGACUCUUUUUCGGCCUCGCUCUUUUACGUUUUGUCUUUAUGCAUUCAUCAACACUAUAUCCCUCGGUAAACAUCACAUUUUCUGCUGUUGAAAUUUCAUUUUGAAGGUCCUCUUGUGUCCAAGUC